GACGAACGCUGGCGGCGUGCUUAACACAUGCCAGUCGAACGGUAAGGCCCUUUCGGGGGUACACGAGUGGCGAACGGGUGAGUAACACGUGGGUGAUCUGCCCUGCACUUUGGGAUAAGCCUGUGAAACUGGGUCUAAUACCGGUUAGGACUACGCUAUGCAUGUCGUGUGGUGGAAAGCUUUUGCGGUGGGGGAUGGGCCCGCGGCCUAUCAGCUUGUUGGUGGGGUGAUGGCCUACCAAGGCGACGACGGGUAGCCGGCCUGAGAGGGUGUCCGGCCAGACUGGGCCGGGGUUAGGGCCCGGACUCAAACGGGAGGAAGGAGGGGGGAAUAUUGAACAAUGGGCGGAGGCCUGAGGCAGGGACGCCGGGUGGGGGAUGACGGCUUCGGGUUGUAAACCCCUUUCAGCACAGACGAAGCGUAAGUGACGGUAUGUGCAGAAGAAGCACCGGCCAACUACGUG
RNAcentral lists this ribosomal RNA (463 nucleotides) under uncultured bacterium. RNAcentral's name for it is "partial 16S ribosomal RNA". It matches the Rfam family "Bacterial small subunit ribosomal RNA", at positions 28 to 507 of the family's 1533-position model. The record is from RNAcentral.